UGAGAUCCCGCUUGGAAGAAGAAUGCCUCCGUGAAGCAGACGAACCGACGUAGUCGGACGGGUCCUCACAUCCGACACGCUUGCGAAACUCUAUCGAGACGGGGAAAACCGGAAACAAGCAUCAACAUACGAUAUUCACCACACGAUGCACAACACAAAUGAUGUAGGAGAAGCUGAAAACAUGCAAGCCACGGCAUGACAAUUCACGCAAUCAAACACUACACAUUAAGUGAAGUUCAAUAUGCAAAGAGUUGCAUAUUGACGAUACUCCACGUCUAUUUAUUUAGUGCUAUCCCGAUUAUCUACACGGCAAUAUUAAUGUUGUCAAACAUGCAGGAGGUGAAGCGGAAAUUAAACUACUUAUCUAGGCAUUUUAAGUGAGGUCGGAAAUGACUUAUAGCACCUCCGAAAUGACCCCACGUGUUAAUUUACAAUUCUGUCCUGAACUGAACUAAUGCAUUUAAUUGUUUGUUAAACAGCAAAACAAAUAGGUUCACGUGAUUCUACGCGUCAAGGCAAGCAAUCUACACAUAAAGAACAUCUCCAACGGAGCUACGGAACAAAAGAUACAAGCACCGCAAGAUAUGAUGGCAUGAAUGCAAUAUGUGUGCAACGGUGGCUACGAGCACUUCAAAACAUACGGACAGAAAGAGAAAAAGAAACUACACGAGAUUCUAAGCAAUUUUCAUGUAGGACACGAUCAAAACGGAGCUACGGUUCGAAAACUACGAGCAAAACAAGAAAACACUGCAAUCUGCCAAAAACAGCCACAUAGCAACUUCUACGCCUCACAACUUCGGCUACACAACUCCGAUGAGCUCAAGCAAGGCAUGGCAUGAAAGAGGGCAAGACUCACUACUACAAACAACUAACAACUACUAGCAUGGCGGCAAGGAGCACCAGGAAACGAAGACACUAAAAGGGCAUCUCACACGCUAUUUCAGACUUAGUGAAAACAACACCUCCUGAAGGUGCAGUUUUCAACCUGAAGGCAUAUUGACAGCAGCAAAACCUAUAGCUACAGGACUCCAAAUGUCAUGAAACUUCACAAAAUGCUAAAGAAACAAAAGGGGUACAAUUAACUCCAUUGGACCAACCUCAUAAGAGCUACCGAUCUCAAGGUGCAAGCAAGACAAGACAGCAACAAAAUAUAACAGUUCCCAGACUUAGAAAUAUUUCAGCACGUCUAAAACAGCACUAUUUCUAGCAACUUGGGAGCUAGCAGACAACACCUAAACAUGCAUUUCUAUUGCAACCAAAAAUACCAGAGGCUAUACAAAGCAUCCAGGAUCAAAACACUAGUUGACAACUAAUUCAAACGAGGCCCGGAAUAAAACCUACGGACUAAACAAAAGGGCAUCACGGCAAAAUAUCUCGCGGACUAACUUCCUCAAAAGCUAAAACUAAUUGCGUAGAAAAAUCUACCCCGAAAACAUAUAUAAUAUGUGGGGUUUGCAACACCAAAUAACGCCACACAAUAAUACGGGAGAAUUAAACCAAGACACGAAAAAAUAAUCUUACGGGCAAACCCUACACGCAAAAAUACACUUGACCGCUCUAAACUACAUGGAAAAUAGCUCCCUAGAGCAUGGACAUUUUAUCUACGACGUACGAGCAAAACAAACACGCGAGGAAAAUAAAUGCGGGCACCUACUUAUGGAGACAGCACAUAAAUCCACGCAUUAGACACUCUAAACAGUGUUAAACAAAUAUGCUAGUUUCAAAAACAUAUUCUACGCGCGAAACUACCACAAAAACAUAUACUACAUUCCUCGUUCCGACUUACGGGUAAAAAGAUACGGUCGUUUGAAAAACGUCUAUUCCCUGAAAUAAACUUAAAUUCUAAGACCUGAAAAAAAGGUUAUUGGGCCGAAUUCGAAUCAGAGUCGGUUCGGUCAUUGAGCGCAAUUUAGAAGCAGUCGCCUAGGGCGCGGAAUGGCUCACCUUGGGGGGCUCUCGAGCCGCUGGUGGAGCUGGGCCAGGCGCCUGCGUGGGGGAGCAGGCCGGGCGAGGCCUACUAGGCCGGGGCGACUGGCUGCGGUGGCCACGCGGGAGGAGGAGGCGCUCCCGUCUCCGCUCUUGAUCCCGAGCAGCGGCGCGACGACUCCUGCCGCGGCGGCCGGCGAGGGGGAGGACCACCACGGGGCGCAGCGAGGCGGGGCUUGCCGGAGGGGAGGCCGCAGAACGGCGGCGCUGCGGGAUCCGGUGAGGAGGCAAGGCGGGGCCAGCGACGAGGCUCGAUCUGGCGCGGGGAAACUCGCAGCGGGCGGCGCGGCGGCGCUAGGGCGCGGGCAGGGGAGCAGGAGGCCAGCGCGGCAACGCAGGUGACGGCGGCUUGCGGCGGCGUGACAAGGGCGAGCUGUGGGGCGCGGCUCGGGCGGCAGGAAGGGCGACGAGGCCCCGGCAGCAUGGGGCGACGCGGCGGCGCGGGCUUGCUGGGGAUCUCGGGGCAGGGAGCUCGAACAGGGGCGGCGGCGGCUCGGGCUUGCGCGGCGGCGGCGCGAUUCGGGCUCGGGCGGGCCUACGAUGGGCUUCGCGGGCCCGGCGGCGCUGGCAGAGGAGAGAGAGUGGGGCGGCGCGGCUAGGGUUAGGUCUAGGUGGAGCGCGGAUUCCGAGGAGGAUUAGGGGGGCGCCCAAAAUAGGCAGGGAGGGGUGCUUAAAUAGGGAAAUGGGCUAGGGUGCAGGGUAUCUGGGGGUUUUUCGACCCUCCGGACGCGUUCGUGCGUUCCGUUCGGGGAGGCAGGAUAGGGUUAGGUGUGAAGAGUGGCAUUGGCUAAGAUGAGAGGGAAGUGGUGCGGCGCGGCAUUGACUAUUAAAACACCGACAGACGUCCGACGAAUAACCGAAGACGGUGCCGCUACGGUCGACCGUUUGGGUACCAGUCGGUCUCCGAUCGCGAUGAAAUUCGACAGGCGGUCUAGCUACAUCUAAUCGCGACCGCGUGCCAAGUCUCACCUCGAUCAGAGAGAGUUUUAAACACACGACGAAAACGGUCGGACUUAGAACGGACAACGACGAGGACCGGCAACUACUAGCGGAUGCAAGUUUGAAAACUGGCGGCAACGGAGAUGCCGAUGCAAUGCAGAUGAUGCGAAUGAUGCGAUGAUGACGCGACAAAUAAAAUUAGACACACGACGAAAACGGAAAGAGAGGGGAAUCUUCUGGAACGUCGGUCUCGGGCCGUCACACGUGAGUAGUCCUCCUUGGACCAUGAGUCCAUGACCAGUAGCUAUGUGAUGUCUUCUCUCCAAUAUUGUGCUUCAAUGUUUAGCCCUUGUGAGCUGCCCUACAUGAUCAAGGCAUCUAUGUAAUUCUCCUGCUAUUGCUAUGCUUGGUUUGCUGGGAUCCGAUGGAUUAUGAGAUUAUGUUUAGAUUGUGAUGAGUUAUAUAUUUGGUUAUUCUUUUAUAUUAUGUUCUUAGCUAAUUCAUGCAUGUUGUACAUUGCUUUUUAUUGCUUUGGCCGUGUAGUUGAUUGUAACUCCAAGAGGGAGCGUUAUGCAUGAUUGUGGGUUCAUGCCCCCAGGUGUCUAGCUUGAGUGAAAGAAACAUGAGACUAGGGGGUGUGCUAUUCCCACCAAUGAGAAAACAAUGGUGCUUGUGACAAUGGUUGCAAGGAUUGUUUACCUUACGCAAAGUUCGUUAAUGCAGUUGUCCCUUGCUUUGAGUUUACACUUUGGGUGGGGCUCGCAACUUGAUAACACCGAGAAUUUCUGGAUAGAUAUCUCAAGAUGGAUGAUUAGUAAGUAGAUGCUGAUGGAUAAACGGUCUACUUGUCUUGGUGUACCACCCAUUACUUUUGAGCCUCUAACUUUCUAGUAGCAUGAUUAGCAUUGUGGUGCGUUUAUAACUUUUUCAAUUGCCCGGCCAUAAUUUCUUUACCCUACAUAGUUGUUUAUCGUCUUUUGGGAGAGAGACAUCACUAGUGAACAUCAUGUGUCUCAGGUCCUUAUUACCACCAUUGUUUACACCUCCACCAUUUACUGCUUUCAUUUACUUUUCCGUUGCAAUCACUAUCACCAUUCCCGCUUGUGUUUUGAUCCUUUACAAACUACAAGCCGGAGAGAUUGACAACUUCUCUGUACUCGUUGGGAGCAAAGUUAUUUGUUGUCUGUGCAGGUCCACAUCUUCCGCUAGCACCAGAGCAGCGUACACCUACUUGUUGAUCCUCGGAGUCCUCCUGGUUCGAUAAACCAUACAGUCCAGUGUAAGGGAAAUAUGCUGCUGACUACAUCUCCACCUUCCACUUGGUGUCGGCGAUGCGAGGUCGACACCUAUGGGAAUCAACGUGAAACCCUUGUGAUCGUAGGGCGAGGAGAGGUGACGUGAAGAGCAGAGCUAACAAUCAGCACCCGACAAGCCUUUUUACCCAGGUUCCGGCUGCUUACGCGUAAAACCCUACGUCCUAUUUGUCUAGUUGUAUUAAGCAUUUUGUUGUCGAUUGUUACAAUGACCGUUGAUGACUGUCUUAUGGGUCAAUGUCCAAAAAGUCUAAUCCCUUCGAAAUGAGCUAAGGGCCUCCUUUUAUAGGCAAAGGGGUCACCUACAAUGCUCAGUGGUAGGUUCACGAGGAGUUAUAGUGAACCUAGGGCGGUGCUUAUCCAUCUACCGCUGUCAGGUGCAUCUAAUGCAUGUCUUGUCCUUGUCAGUGAUGUGAUGGUGAAGACACGUAUACAGGUGUUUUGAAACUUUGACGUUAUGCUGGUGCAUGCGGAAUGCGCUCGCACUUGGGGGCGGUGGCACUGUGGCAAGGGCGGUUGCCCACUAGUGGCCAGGCCCGUCAUCCGGUGAAGGAGCUUGUCGGGGCCUUGAGUCUUCGUCCUGGCAAGGGAUUUUGAUUGGGUCUUGUACUUGGUGAGUUCAUCACGCCCACCAAAUGGCCGCGACCUUGGCCAUCUUCUCGGCAAGGCAGGCUCGCAAAGGCCUUGAUAAUCUUGGGGGUUGCAUCUUGACUAGGUCCUGACAUGCCCUGCCGGCAGGGGCACUUCGCGCCUGUGCACAAGUCUGGGGCACUAGGGACCCUAGUCUCUAGUGCACCGACAGGAGCCCCCGGGCCUGGGCCACACACGCAUGCGAAGCGUUGUUGGGCCAGUCCCAAAGUGGUGCACGGGCUUUCGUGGCUUGAUGCGCCGGAAGUUGCUUUUCCCCACAUCAUGCCUUGGACGCGCAAAGUGGGGGGUCAUGCGCAAUGUGACCUUUCCACCUCCUAAAACGCCUCUACCACGUGCGUGGCAUGCGCAGUUAUGAAUGGACAGGUGGCAGACGUGGCCUUAAAUGGCGUAGUAGUAGCGAGGGCCGACCGUGCUUCCAUUGGUGCAGCAGGGCGGUUCCCUGUUCGCCCGUGAGCACGAGCAAUUGGUCGAGAGGGGUAGUGGCUUCUGUAGCAAGGGAGGCUAGCCCCCGCGCACCGUAGUAUAAUAUAGGAGCGUUUGCGAGUGGUUUUGCUCACCCAACUCCUUCUGAAUCCAGCAACUCCUCAGCCCUGGUCUUCAAAGUCUUCUUCUGUCUGUAGGUGGCGCUCGCCCCUAACCAUGGUUAGGGGACGGGGUCGGCCACCGUCGGUCGCUAGGGCGGCGAGAGGAUCCCAUUCGGAUCAUGCCACAACUUGUGGAGGCGCCGCGGCGGAAGGCGGCCUGAGCGCCCGUGGCGGAGGAAGGGCGAGGGACCGCGGUCCUCAUGGAGGUCGAGGCCGGGGGAGGCGGAGCGCAACUGCAGCGCCUCUGCCUUCUCCGAGGCUUGCUCCUGCGGCGGUCCUUCAUGCUGCUCGGGCGAGGCUGGAAGGCCUUCGUGUGUGCCCAUCUCCUCGAGGACCGGCAUGUCCUCCACUUCGAGCUAGCGGGGGCGGACAUGCUGUCCGUCAAGUCUUAUGGGCGCCCACGUGCGCUUCUCAGCUGUUGCGAAGAUCGCUCGAGCGACAUUGGGUGCUCCGCUUUGAGCGACGGCGACGGAGGGCGGUAGUGGUGAAGGUGUUGGGCCUAGUCCCAAGCUCGGGGGAAUCGAACCAGAAGGAGAUUCCCACAGCUGGGACUGAGUACUUCCUAAACUAGCGCGGCCCGGUCACGCCCAUCCCUCCCCUCACAAGGGGGGGGGAUCUCAACCGGAUCUGUCACCCCAUUCCUACGGCUUGACGAGGCCGUACCCGCUUCCGUCGGUACAACGCUGGUCCUGGCGGAGCCAGCAUGGAUGUACCGCAGGCCUUGCCGCGCCUUGUCUUCAUGAACUCCAAUUCCUCUACGUAGGUUGAUCCUCGUAAAAAGACAAAGUCUUUAGGUUAGGAUAACAACGCUUUGUAAGUGGAGUCAAAUGUAUCCAUUCAAAUGAAUGAAAAGACUGUUUUCCCUUUUUCUGAUUCUAUUCAUUGUGUGAUUGGUCUUUGCAUUCUAUCGGAGCUUGCCGGAAACUACCGGCAAGGCUCCUUGCCACAUUUAGUGGAACCAUAGAAAUCGCCAAGCGAAGCUUGAGACGAAAUCAGGCGCUACAUAGCCGCUUGCUCUGUUGAGCAGGUUCAAAAUAGUUUGAAGGCGCUUUGUGGCCGUUCAGGUCGUUGGAACGAGUUCGAGACAAAGACAAGGUGCACUCAUCUUUGGAAAGGUCCCAGUAUGCGCAGACUCCACAAACAAAGAUUGGAAACUUUUGAAGGGAAAACAGAGAAUCGAUCUACUUCAUAUCUGAGUCUUAAACUUAGAACUUAUCUACUCACGCCGUGGUUGGAUGGAGCUUGAAUCUUUUGCCGGGGCGUCGGGGCCCCCGGCAAGCAGGAAAUUACCGCUCCCGGCAGCUUUCUCUCCGGCAAAGACUUCUUGCCGACAGUUUGCGACCGUCGUUUGGAGAAAACGUUGGCCAGGGUGUAAACCAUUUAGUUUUCUCUUGCUAUGUUGUGGUUGCGGAGCCCCCGAGCGCAUCUUGGGCGAUGAUACGACGCUCUCAUGGGCACAACACUUACGUUGGAGUGUGCGCCGGGGCUUCAGGACCGUUUGGCGCAUCCUCAAUGACUAUGCAUCACUCCGCAGAGGUACGUCUGCCGGAGUAUGCACCGAGGCCUCUGUGAAGCUCCCAGGUACGCACUCGACAGCUGCGCAUUAGCCCUGAGUUAUGCAUCGGCCUGACGACGCCGCCUUUGGAGCCUCCGCCUACGUGCCUCGCGCUCGCGCAGGCCUUGGGAAGCCAUAGCAGAACAUAGCGUCUGCUGUGGUACCCCGUUUCUGGUGGAACUGCCGCGCAUCGCCCAAACUUCCAAGAAUCUGGUGCUAAGUUUGCUCAGAUUCGCGCAAAACUCCACACCCCCUACCUGGCGCGGGCGCCAAAGAUGUCGGUGAUGCGAAGUCGACACCUAUGGGAAUCAACAUGAAACCCAUGUGAUCAUAGGGCGGGGAGAGGUGACUUGAAGAUCAGAGCUAACAAUCAGCACCCGACAAGCCUUUUUACCUAGGUUCGGGCCGCUUACGCGUAAAACCCUACGUCCUUCUUGUCUGGUUGUAUUAAGCGUUUUCGUGUCAAUUGUUAUAGUGACCGUUGAUGACCGUCUUAUGGGUCAAUGUCCAAAAAGUCUAACCCCUUCGAAAUGAGCUAAGGGCCUCCUUUUAUAGGCAAAGUAGUCGCCUAUAGUGCUAAGUGGUAGGUUCACGAGGAGUUACAGUAAACCUAGGGCGGAGCUUAUCCAUCUAUCGAUGUCAGGUGCAUUUAAUGCACGCCUUGUCCUUGUCAACGAUGUGUUGGUGAAGACACGUAUCCAGCUGUUUCACACCUGGAUGAUGCGCUGGCGCAUGCGGAAUGCGCUGGCACUUGGGGGUGGUGGCACUGUGGCAAGGGUGGUUGCGCACCAGUGGCCAGGCCCGUCAUCCCGACAAGGAGCUUGUCGGGGCCUUGAGUCUUCAUCCUAGCAAGGUAGCUUGCCAGGCACUUCAGUCGUCAUCCCGGCAAGGGAGCUUGCUGGGGUCUUGUACUUGGUGAGUUCAUUACGCCCACCAUAUGGGCGCGGCCUUGGUCAUCUUCCCGGCAAGGUAGGCUUGCCGAGGCCCUGAUAAUCUUGGGGGUUGCAUCUUGACUGGGUCCUGCCAUGCCCUGCCGGCAGGGGCUCUUCACACCCGUGCACAAGUCUGGGGCACUAGGGACCCCAGUCUUUAGUGCACCGACAAUUGGGGUAACCAACGAGGGGCGAGAAGUAUGUCCAUCAACUCGUUAUCAGAAGCGCAUACUCCAACAACGAUUAAUUGAAUCCGGGCUGAUACGUCUCCUACGUAUCUAUAAUUUUUGAUGGUUUCAUGCUACUAUCUUGUCAAACUUUGGNNNNNNNNNNNNNNNNNNNNNNNNNNNNNNNNNNNNNNNNNNNNNNNNNNNNNNNNNNNNNNNNNNNNNNNNNNNNNNNNNNNNNNNNNNNNNNNNNNNNCCAAGACCAAGAAAGGAAAUAAUGCUAUCUUUGUGGUCAUUGACCGACUCUCCAAAGUAGCUCAUUUUCUUCCCGUUCGUGAGAGUAUAACAGCUAGCCAUCUAGCAGAGUUAUAUAUCUCCCGAAUAGUGUCUCUUCAUGGUGUUCCCCUGGAAAUUAGCUCGGACCAUGGGAGUAUCUUUACUUCUCGCUUGUGGGAAAGUUUUCAGAAUGCCAUGAGGACUCACUUAUCUUUUAGCACUGCUUUCCAUCCCCAAUCAAGUGGUCAAGUAGAAAGAGUGAAUCAAAUCCUAGAAGAUAUGCUCUGAGCUUGUGUUAUAUCAUUCGGUAUGAAUUCGGAGAAGUGUCUUCCAUUCGCCAAAUUCGCAUAUAACAAUAGUUAUCAAUCAAGCUUGGGCAAAGCUCCUUUUGAAGUUCUCUAUGGAUGAAGAUGUCGAACACCUCUUAAUUGGUCAUAAACCGGAGAGAGGCAACUCUUUGGCCCGGAUAUGAUCCAGGAUGCAGAAGAGCAGGUUCGCAUUAUUCGUAAAAAGUUGAAAACAGCCCAGUCUCGUCAAAAGAGCCAAUAUGAUCGUCAUCAUAAGGCUGUGACCUUUGAAGUUGACGAGAAGGCUUACCUUUGGGUUACACCUUUGAAGGGUACCCAUCGAUUCGGUAUCAAGGGCAAGUUGGCUCCACGUUACAUUGGUCCUUUUCGCAUUCUUGCCAAACAAGGAGAAGUUGCCUACCAGUUGGUACUUCCUCUGCAUCUUUCCAAGGUUCAUGAUGUCUUCCACGUCUCGCAACUCAGGCGUUGCUUUUCGGAUCCUAUCCGUGAAGUGGACCACGAAACGCNNNNNNNNNNNNNNNNNNNNNNNNNNNNNNNNNNNNNNNNNNNNNNNNNNNNNNNNNNNNNNNNNNNNNNNNNNNNNNNNNNNNNNNNNNNNNNNNNNNNAAACUCUCCUUCGUAUUUGCAAGCUGAGAAUGAUGACGAGGAACAACACCAAGAAUAGCCGAGACACUCCGGAAUAAAGAAGAAUGAAAGGUUGACCAAUAUGAGAAUUAAUUCAAAUAGAUCUUGACAAAUGGAUAUGACUAAAGAAAUUCAUACUUACUUCAUAGUUGAAAAGAAUUAAAGAUCUCUAGAAGAUUACAAGAGCUAUAACAGAUCCUGGGAAAAACCUGUGGGUUAUGGGCCCACUCAAAGAAAUCACCGUUGAAAAGAUUACUAGAACGGGAGAUAUUGCACCGGUACAAGAAAACUAGAUGAGGUUAGCACCUCGAAAUAACUGAAGGAUUGAAAAGUAGAACUUCUGAAAUAUCUUUAACACUACGGAUAGAAAGAGAGAGGAAUUAAUAAACAAGAUAGGCUGAAAGAAUUUCCAACGUCGAAAAGAAUUUAAUGGUUGAAAAGGAUAUGAUGACCAUGGAUAACUGAACUGAAUUCACCGGUAAGGAUGACAAGAAUGAAUAAAGAUGAACAUGAAGCUCCUGAGAAUGUUCACAAUGAAUCACCGGGUAAGAGAGGGAAAAACACACAGUGGAAGCACAAUGAAAAGAAAACUCUUGGAUGAAAAUUGAAUCACUGAAGAAAAGGGUGGGAGGGCGGGGAAAACAAAGACAACUCGGGACAGAUGAGACAAACUCCGGUAAGGAUUGAGAGAAUGAUCUGCAAACAUUAGAGAGGAUUGAAUUCACUUGGAGAGAAACACACCGGUUGAAAAGAAUUAACAUGACGACUCCGGUUGACAAGAAUUGAUAAGACAAUUGAUUGAGCAAAAGAAUUUGCACUCUCACAUAAAAAUAUGAGAACACAGAUUAGGAAAGAUCUGAAAUCACCACUUGACAACGAAGCAACACGAAUUACCACAUUCAACAAAACAAGGAUGCGGCUUACAAUUAGCCAGAACAAACUCAUGAGAAAGAUUUCGUCCGAUAUUUUCGUGGACAGGAUCGCACGGGCUCGAUUUUACAGUAGCCAUCAAGUGCAAGGCAGUGCACCCGACAUACGAAGCGUCCCCGAGUNNNNNNNNNNNNNNNNNNNNNNNNNNNNNNNNNNNNNNNNNNNNNNNNNNNNNNNNNNNNNNNNNNNNNNNNNNNNNNNNNNNNNNNNNNNNNNNNNNNNUACAUACUCGGGCUGUCCAUGGAUAAUGUUGGACAAUUUGAAAGGAUGGCGGUUAUAAAUAUGCAAAGAAAUGCAUAUUUAUAGAUGUCGCCCUUUUGAACGGGAGACGCAUACUGGUCACGCAUACUCAUGAUUGAAGAAACCUAUAGCUAGCAAGUUUCAUCGGCACGAAGACUGGGACAGACAAAUUAAGGGGGUAGGAGGAGAAGUCAUUUGUGCUCACCAACAAACGCAGGGGUGGAUCUCGUCCAACGCACGUGGAGGUUGUCGAACUACUGCACAUUGAAAUUCAAACGAUCAACACAAAUAUGAUGUUUUUAUAAUUAACAUAAUCGGAAAAUAUGUGACCUAACUCAUAAUUUACAAAACUAUGACCCCGUGGGACUAGAAGGCCAAAAAGCACCUUCUCGUUCAACAGUAAGUAGAAGAGGUGUCGGGGGUCGGGGCUUAGUGGCAUCGAGGGUCGGUGGUGUCGGGUGUCGGUUGUCGGUGGUCGGGUUAAAUGCGUCGAUGGUCGGGGGUCAGUUUCGUCGGGGGUCGAGGGUCACUAGCGUCGGGGGUUGGGGUCUUUUCGAUCAACAAGAGUCCAAAGAGGUGUCGGGGGCCCGGGAUCGGGUGUUAGCGGCGUCGGGGGUCGAGGGUAGAGGGUCGGGGGUCGGGGGUCGAGGGUCNNNNNNNNNNNNNNNNNNNNNNNNNNNNNNNNNNNNNNNNNNNNNNNNNNNNNNNNNNNNNNNNNNNNNNNNNNNNNNNNNNNNNNNNNNNNNNNNNNNNAGAAAGCAAACCACCACUUCCUUAGGUACUGUAGCAAACUUAAAUUCUACUUAUGCUGAUGUUGGGUUACUGUAUUUUGAAUCUUCCAUGGCUAAUACCCUCUGAUACUAUCCAUAGUUUCAUCAAAAUAAGCAACCAACACAACAAAAACAUAAUCUGUUAACAGCAGAUCAGUUUGUAGCAAUCUGUAUAUUUCGAAUAGUUCUGGUACUUAAAAAAAUCUGAAAAAUUAGCGUAGAAAUCAUCAGAAUAAAGAAUCAUUUCAAAAUCUCUUACAGAAAAAAGGAAAAUUCUUUUCGUGAGCAGAAAGUUUGUGUCUUUUCCAGCUUGACCAAACGAUCAUCCCCAAGACUAAUCAUAAUGGUUUUUCUUGGCACAAACGCACAAAGAAACACACAAAACACAAUCAUAACAGAAUUAUGAAAGUGUGGAAAACACAAAACAGGAAGCAAAAAAGCAAAGAAAAAUUUAUUCAUCGGGUUGCCUCCCAACAAGNNNNNNNNNNNNNNNNNNNNNNNNNNNNNNNNNNNNNNNNNNNNNNNNNNNNNNNNNNNNNNNNNNNNNNNNNNNNNNNNNNNNNNNNNNNNNNNNNNNNNNNNNNNNNNNNNNNNNNNNNNNNNNNNNNNNNNNNNNNNNNNNNNNNNNNNNNNNNNNNNNNNNNNNNNNNNNNNNNNNNNNNNNNNNNNNNNNNNNNNNNNNNNNNNNNNNNNNNNNNNNNNNNNNNNNNNNNNNNNNNNNNNNNNNNNNNNNNNNNNNNNNNNNNNNNNNNNNNNNNNNNNNNNNNNNNNNNNNNNNNNNNNNNNNNNNNNNNNNNNNNNNNNNNNNNNNNNNNNNNNNNNNNNNNNNNNNNNAUGAUGCUCACAUAAAAGGUAAGGAUUGAAACACAAUGAGACCAUCAUGGAGCAAAUGUCUAGCACAUUUAAGUCUAACCCACUUCCUAUGCAUAGGGAUUUUGUGAUCAAACAAUUUAUUGGAGUAAGAAUCAACUAGCAUUGGAAGGCAAAACNNNNNNNNNNNNNNNNNNNNNNNNNNNNNNNNNNNNNNNNNNNNNNNNNNNNNNNNNNNNNNNNNNNNNNNNNNNNNNNNNNNNNNNNNNNNNNNNNNNNNNNNNNNNNNNNNNNNNNNNNNNNNNNNNNNNNNNNNNNNNNNNNNNNNNNNNNNNNNNNNNNNNNNNNNNNNNNNNNNNNNNNNNNNNNNNNNNNNNNNNNNNNNNNNNNNNNNNNNNNNNNNNNNNNNNNNNNNNNNNNNNNNNNNNNNNNNNNNNNNNNNNNNNNNNNNNNNNNNNNNNNNNNNNNNNNNNNNNNNAUUGGAAGGCAAAACAAGCAUAGCUUCAAGAAUUUCAACAUAUGGAGAGGAAGCUUAAUACUAUUGCAAUAAGUAGAAGCAUAUGAUCCUCUCUCAUAGUAAUUUUCAGUACCAUCAUGAAUGAAUUCNNNNNNNNNNNNNNNNNNNNNNNNNNNNNNNNNNNNNNNNNNNNNNNNNNNNNNNNNNNNNNNNNNNNNNNNNNNNNNNNNNNNNNNNNNNNNNNNNNNNUAGGGCGAAUUCAUUCAUGAUGGUACUGAAAAUUACUAUGAGAGAGGAUCAUAUGCUUCUACUUAUUGCAAUAGUAUUAAGCUUCCUCUCCAUAUGUUGAAAUUCUUGAAGCUAUGCUUGUUUUGCCUUCCAAUGCUAGUUGAUUCUUACUCCAAUAAAUUGUUUGAUCACAAAAUCCCUAUGCAUAGGAAGUGGGUUAGACUUAAAUGUGCUAGACAUUUGCUCCAUGAUGGUCUCAUUGUGUUUCAAUCCUUACCUUUUAUGUGAGCAUCAUUGAAAUCAAUGCCUAGCUAAGGGCGUUAAACGAUAGCGCUUGUUGGGAGGCAACCCGAUGAAUAAAUUUUUCUUUGCUUUUUUGCUUCCUGUUUUGUGUUUUCCACACUUUCAUAAUUCUGUUAUGAUUGUGUUUUGUGUGUUUCUUUGUGCGUUUGUGCCAAGAAAAACCAUUAUGAUUAGUCUUGGGGAUGAUCGUUUGGUCAAGCUGGAAAAGACACAAACUUUCUGCUCACGAAAAGAAUUUUCCUUUUUUCUGUAAGAGAUUUUGAAAUGAUUCUUUAUUCUGAUGAUUUCUACGCUAAUUUUUCAGAUUUUUUUAAGUACCAGAACUAUUCGAAAUAUACAGAUUGCUACAAACUGAUCUGCUGUUAACAGAUUAUGUUUUUGUUGUGUUGGUUGCUUAUUUUGAUGAAACUAUGGAUAGUAUCAGAGGGUAUUAGCCAUGGAAGAUUCAAAAUACAGUAACCCAACAUCAGCAUAAGUAGAAUUUAAGUUUGCUACAGUACCUAAGGAAGUGGUGGUUUGCUUUCUCAUACUAAUGUUAUCACGAGUUUCUGUUUAAGUUUCGUCUUGUGAAGUUUUCAAGUUUUGGGUGAAGUUCUUAUGGACAAAGAGAUAAAGAGUGGCAAGAGCUCAAGCUUGGGGAUGCCCAAGGCACCCCAAGAGAUUCAAGGCUUCCAUAAAAGCCUAAUCUUGGGGAUGCCCCGGGAAGGCAUCCCCUCUUUCGUCUUCAAUCCAUCGGUAACGUUACUUGGGGCUAUAUUUUUAUUCACCACAUGUUAUGUGUUUUUGCUUGGAGCGUCUUGUAUCGUAGGAGUAUUUUAUUUUUGUUGUGUCACAACCAUCCUUGCUGCACACCUAGAGAGAGAUACAUGCACUCACCGUGAUUUUGUCGAGCUUCACUUAUAUCUUUUGGUAGAGAAUUCAGCUCACAUGUGCUUCACCUAUAUCUUUUGAGCUAGAUACUUUUGCUCUAUGUGCUUAACUUAUAUCUUUUAGAGCACAGUGGUGCGUGGCUUGGUAGUCGAUCUAUGCUUUGAAAGUAGUCUCAAAAGGGGUAGUUAUCCAAAGGGAUACGAAAACUUCCACCUUCAUGUGCAUUGAAUAGUUAGAGAAGUUUGACUCAUCCCAAUUAGUUUUGAGUUGUGGUUUUGGUAAUAUUGAAGUCAUGCUAGUAAGGUGUUGUGGAUCUAGAAAUACUUGUGCUGAAGUUAGUGAUUCCGUAGCAUGCACGUAUGGUGAACUGCUAUGUGAUGAAAAACUUCUCUAACUAUUCUUUGGCCUCACCGUACUGAUUGUCACCCUUUGCGUGGCGGUCGGGAUCGCGCGAUGGUUUAUACCUACCAACCCUUCCCCUAGGAGUAUGCGUUGAAUGCUUUGUUUCGAUUACUAAUAAAACUUUUGCAACAAGUAUAUGAGUUCUUCAUGACUAAUGUUGAGUCCAUGGUUUAGAUGCACUUUCACCUUCCACCAUCACUAUCUUCUUGGUGCCGUGCAACUUUCGCCGGUGCACAAAACCCACCAUUAGCCUCCAUCAAAACAGCCACCAUACCUACCUACUAUGGCUGUUUCAAAGUCAUCCCGAGAUAUAUUGCCUUGCAACUACCACCAUGACAUGUGCCACCACGUCUACCUUGCCAUUGCAUGAUCGUUAGAUAGCUAGCAUGAUGUUUCCAUUAAUGUCUAUGCCAUGCUAGAUCAUUUCCACGGUACACUACCAAAGGCAUUCCAUAUAGAGUCAUCGUUGCUCUAAGUUUUGAGUUGUAAGUGUGAUGAUCAUCAUUGAUGGAGCAUUGUCCCAUUCGAGGAAAUAAACGAGGCCAAAGAAGCCCACCAUAAAAAAGAGGCCAAAGAGCCCACAAAAAAAAUGAGAGAAAAAGAGAGAAGGGACAAUGCUACCACUUUUUCCACACUUAUGCAUAUUAAGCACCAUGAUCUUCAUGAUUGAGAGUCACUCGUUUUGUCACCACCAUAUAGCUAGUGGGAAAUUUUCAUUAUAUAACUUGGCUUGUAUAUUCCAAUGAUAGGCUUCCUCAAAAUUUCCUUAGGUCUGUGUGAGCGAGCAAGUUGGAUGCACACCCACUAGUUUUCUUUAAGAGCUUUCACAUACUCAUAGCUCUAGUGCAUCAUUUGUAUGGCAAUCCCUACUCAUUCGCAUUGAUAUCUAUUGAUGAGCAUCUCCACACCUCAUUGAUAUGCCUAGUUAAUGUGACUAUCUUCUCUUUUUUUGUCUUGCAACCUCCACCACACUCCACACCAUCUAUAGUGCUAUAACCAUGGCUCACGCUCAUGUAUUGCGUGAGAGUUGAAAAGGUUUGAGAAAGUAAAGGUGUGAAACAAUUACUUGGCCAAUACCGGUGUUGUGCAUGAUUUAAAUUCAUUGUGCAAAGAUGAUAGAGCAUAGCCAAACUAUAUGCUUUUUUAGGGAUAACUUUCUUUUGGCCUUGUUAUUUUGAAAGUACAUGAUUACCUUGCUAGUUUGCUUGAAUUAUUAUUGUUUCGACAUCAGUAGCAAACUAUUGUUUUGAAUCUAACGGAUCUGAACAUUCAUGUCACGUGAGAGAAGUUACAAAGGACAACUAUGCUAGGUAGCUUGCAACAUCAAAAAUUCAUUCUUUAUCACUUCCCUACUCGAGGACGAGCACGAGUUAAGCUUGGGGAUGCUUGAUACGUCUCCAACGUAUCUAUAAUUUUUGAUGGUUNNNNNNNNNNNNNNNNNNNNNNNNNNNNNNNNNNNNNNNNNNNNNNNNNNNNNNNNNNNNNNNNNNNNNNNNNNNNNNNNNNNNNNNNNNNNNNNNNNNNNNNNNNNNNNNNNNNNNNNNNNNNNNNNNNNNNNNNNNNNNNNNNNNNNNNNNNNNNNNNNNNNNNNNNNNNNNNNNNNNNNNNNNNNNNNNNNNNNNNNNNNNNNNNNNNNNNNNNNNNNNNNNNNNNNNNNNNNNNNNNNNNNNNNNNNNNNNNNNNNNNNNNNNNNNNNNNNNNNNNNNNNNNNNNNNCCCCCCGAUGGUGGCGAGCAGGGUUGUGACCUCCUCGUGGGCCCAACUGACGCAAUUCCACCGCCAUAAAUUCCUAUAAAUUCAGAAACCUCUAGAAAGAAACCUAGAUCGGGAGUUCCGCCGCCGCAAGCCUCUGUAGCCACCAAAAACCAAUCUAGAGCCCGUUUCCGCACCCUGACGGAGGGGGAAUCCAUCUCCGGUGGCCAUCUUCAUCAUCCCGACGAUCUCCAUGACGAGGAGGGAGUAGUUCUCCCUCGGGGCUGAGGGUAUGUACCAAUAGCUAUGUGUUUGAUCUCUCUCUCUCGUGUUCUUGAGAUGUCUUGAUCUCGAUAUACCACGGGCUUUGCUACUAUAGUUGGAUCUUAUGAUGUUCUUCCCCCUCUCACUCUUGUAAUGAAUUGAGUUUCCCCUUUGGAGUUAUCUUAUCGGAUUGAGUCUUUGAGAACACUUGAUGUAUGUCCUGCACGUGUCUAUCUGCUGUGAUCAACUUGCGGGUAUGUGACAUUUGGAACCUAUGCAUAUGGGUUGGCACACUUGAUUCAUGUGAGUACUCGAUGUAUGUUUUGGUGAUCAACUUGCGGGUUCGUGACAUUGGGAACCUAUGCACAGGGGUUGGCACACGUUUUGACUCUCUGGUAGAAACUUUGGGGCACUCUUUGAAGUUCUAUGUGUUGGUUGAAUAGAUGAUUCCGAGAUUGAGUGAUGCAUAUCGUAUAAUCAUACCCACGGAUACUUGAGGUGAUAGUGGAGUAUCUAGGUGACAUUAGGGUCUUGGUUGAUAUGUAUCUUAAGGUGUUAUUCUAGUACGAACUCUUGAAUAGAUCGAUCAAAAAGAAUAACUUUGUGGUGGUUUCGUACCCGACAAUAAUCUCUUCGUUUGUUCCCCGCUAUUAGUAACAUUGGAGUGACUCUUUGUUACAUGUUGAGGGCUAGUUACAUGAUCCAAUUAUGUUAUCAUUGUUGAGAGAACUUCACUAGUGAAAGUAUGAACCCUAGGCCUUGUUUCCACGCGUUGCAUUACCGUUCGUGCUCACUUUUACCAUUUGUUACCUUGCUGUUUUUGUAAUUUCGGAUUACAAAAACCUAUAUCUACCAUCCAUAUUGCACUUGUAUCACCAUCUCUUCACCGUACUAGUGCACCUAUACAACCUACCAUUGUAUUAGGUGUGUUGGGGACACAAGAGACACUUUGUUAUUUGGUUGCAGGGUUGCUUGAGAGAGACCAUCUUCAUCCUACGCCUCCCGCGGAUUGAUAAACCUUAGGUCACCCACUUGAGGGAAAAUUGCUACUGUCCUACAACCCUCUGCACUUGGAGGCCCAACAACGUCUACAAGGAGAAGGUUGCGUAGUAGACAUCACGGGCCUUCGAAAAAUAACAAGCCUUUUGAUGGAUCUCGGACCAUACUAGACAAGCUAUUAGACAUCCCAUGUCCCAUACACUCCGCAUUGCCUAACACUGUCUCAACCCACAUGCAUCGAGCCUGUUGGGUCGUUAGGUAGGUGGCUAAGAGCGGAGAGGCUAUUCUCGAGGCCUAACCACCGCCAAGGCGUUCGGUUAAACUUCCCCACAUUACUGUCAAUGUACUCACAAUUUACGAGACUUUCUCCUCAAACAAUCAAAGGAAAAUGGCUCCCCGAGAAACCGGCCAAAUAUUCAUGGUGGCGGGAGCACAUCCAUGGACAAGCACACCCAUUACAUUUAGAGUGGAUGACCAGCAUGGAGUAUGUUCUAACCAAACACACACCGCAUUAGUCCUCAAUCCCAUUAUAGAUAGUCUCAAACUAUCUAAAGUGCUAAUGUACGUCGACAGUGGCUUAAACCCCAUUUAUGAUUGCACCUUAUACAAAAUGCAGUUUGAGAGAUCCCGCAUUGAAUGUAGCAGCACAACGUUUCAAGGAAUCAUCCCCGAAAGAGAAGCCCGAUGCACAGGACGGGUCUCCCUCGAUGUAAUAUUCGACACCUACAAGAAUUACAAGUACGAAGAGCUCACCUUCAAAAGUGGCUAUCACGCCCUUGUAGGACGGGAGGCCUUCACUAGAUUCUAGGUGAUACCCUAUUAUGGGUAUAUGAAACUCAAAAUGCUCGGACCCAUCAGUGUCAUUACCCUCAUAAGCGAUCUGGAUAGGACCCUGCGGCCUGAAAAUAAAACCCCAACACUCACCCUUGAGGCACUUUCAGAGGAACUUGUGGCUCAAGAACUCACCAAACAAAGCUCACUGGCCAACAAGGAUGAUGGACUCUUAGCAAGAGACCAUAGUACACAUCCUUCAAGCCUGCUGACGAAAUAAUCAAGUUCCAAGUGCAAGCGAUGGACCCUGCUAAAACAUCGUCCAUCGCAGCACAACACGACCCCGCGGUCGAUGAAGCAUUGUGCACCUUCUUGUGAGAAAACUAGGAUAUAUUUGUGUGGCACCCUUUGGACAUGCUAGGAAUCCCGCGAAGACUGGCCGAGCAUGGGUUGAACACAAUAGACGGCUUCAAACCCGUCAAACAAACGCUACGUCGCUUCUACGCACCAAAGCGUCAAGCCAUGGGCACCGAACUAGUAAAGCUGCUCGAAGCCGAAUUCAUUCGGAUAUCAAGCAUCUCGAGUGGUUGGGAAAUCUGGUCAUGGUCCCCAAAAAGGACAAAUCCUGGUGAUGAUGCGUCGAUUUCAAAGACCUCAACAAAGCCUGCCCUAAGGAUCCAUUUCCUUUGCCCUAAGAAUCCGAUCAAGCCGCAAGUGAUUUCAUCACUCCCUAAGGGCCAGUGUGCUUUAACACAAUGCCCUUUGGGUUAAAAACAUAGGUUCCACGUGUCAACGCAUGAUUCAAACAUGCCUAGAAAAAUAAAUUGGCAAGACAGUCGAGGCAUACGUGGAUGACAUGGUCAUCAAGACAAAACAUGUCAGCCAACGAGUGGACGACUGAAAGUGCAUUAUAUCGACUAGAGAGGGUAUGACUAGGCAAUUUUUAUGAAUUCGUUACUCAGGAAUUUUACUUGUGAGAAAAUUGCUCACUCACGAACAACAAGCAACGGAAUAAGUACUUAGGCAAACGUGCAACACAGCAACAACAUAGUCUUCAUGAUGAAAUGAAAGAUAUGAUUCACACAAGUAGCAUGAUCACGAUACGUAGGUGAAGAACAAGUGAAGCGAAGAGGAAUUUGUGAAAGUCUUUAGUCAAAAUCUUCAAACAGUAUUAAUUAAUUUCAUCAACACAUAAAUGAGGAAAUAGAAGGGUUGACGAAAUAGAACCAGGUACUCGGUGAAGACAAUGAUUCGAUGACCCAGUUCCAACUGUUGUGAUAGUCAUACGUUUGGUUUGGAGCGGGUUGGUAUUUAAGACAAAGGACACACAGUUCCAUGACACAUAGUCCUUAAUGUAUUCUCCUUGAGCUAAGGACACGUAGUACUCGCUCGAUACUCGUGGUAAGUCUUCAGGGAAGAAUUCCAAAACCCUCACAAACUCGGUCACCCGGCGAUCCACAAUUUACUGUUGGAUGCUAUAGACCAGCGAGGCCAAACCGUCUGGAAGAUACACAGUCUUCAAAGCUAACAAGCUUCGGUUCCCUAGAGGAACAAUCUCUUCAGUGAUGCUCAAUCAAUUUGAGUCUUUGGGUUUUGAUUUGGGCGUUUGGCGUUUUUCCUCACCGAGGAUUUUCUCCCAAAGUCUUUGAGGAAUGGAUUGCUCUCAAAUGAUAAGUGGCAGUUUUUCUCGUGGAGGAGCCACACAGCUCCUGGUUAUGGGGGCGGCUAUUUAUAGCCUAGGAGCAAUCCCGACAUGAUUUGACAUAAAUGUCCUAAUGGUAUGACCGUUAUGUGGAUAAAGUUGGGGACAGCUGGCGUGCGGCGAAGCAACGGUCAGGAAUUUCAAUCUGUGAAAGUCCUCAUGUCUCUCAUAUUCUUCACAUGUAGGUAAUUCACACUGGUGAAAUCCUAACUCCUUAGUUAGAGAAAUUUCCUUAGAAUCCAGAAGAUCUUCGUCUUUGGCACUGAAGAAUUUGACUAAACUAUAAAAGAUUUCCAAAGCCUUCACUUGAAGGAUUGGGUAUGUGUAGGCUUUGAGAUGAUCAUGACUUGGAAAUUUUUCCUUAGUUUUACCUCGACCCCCUUUAACAGUAUGGUGGUCCUAUGAAUCAAAAGAAAGGAAACGAAACUACGAAAACAAAAUUAUUCACGCUUCAUAGUCACCACUUCCAAAGUCUUCGAGGAUUACUGAAGUCCUCAGUGAAAGACAUUCAUUUUUAGGGGUCGGUAUUCCUCAAAAAACUCAAAAUCCUGAGCGACUUAUAGAGCUUGUAUACACUCACAAACACAUUAGUAUCUCCCCCUUUUUGGUGAUUGAUGACAAAUAGGUUAAGUUAUCAACGGGGACAAAUAUAUGAAGUGUAAGUAUAGAGUUUUAGGAAUUAUUGAAAAAUAUAGAUAAACUCCCCCUAAAGAUGUGCAUAUUUCAAGAAUUUGCUUUGGACUGCAAAUGCACAUUGUAGGUCUAUACCAUGGAGAUCUCCCCCUAUAUCUUGUAAUCCUUGCAAGCAUUUAACAUGUAUCAUGAGGAAAUUGAAAUGCAUGAUGGAAAGUGGUAUUUGACGAAUUUCAAGAUGCGUGGAUUAAUCAAUGUGAGAAAUAAUCAUGCGAAAAAAGGUUCAAAAGUGUCAGACCACCACCGGGCAUAAGUUUACAACUCAUACAACCACACACUUCAAAAGAACGAGAGUUGGAAGUUAACAAAAAAUAUAGCCAUAAGCCCAUAAUGUAGACCUGCUUGAAGACUAACUCGAAUUUCUCUCCCUUUGUCAUAAAUUGAUGAAAAGGGACGAAACGAAGGACUAACGCCCCUGAAGAAUUCAACUUGUUGGUGCAGGAGCACCGCUAGCACUGUCGGGUCGUUUGACAUGAUUGGGUCGGCAACAAUGUUGUCAAGAUCAUCAGCUUCAUCAUUUGUGUGCGAUGAAGAAAAUAAACUAGUCACCAGGUGAGGAACUUGCAUAUUCUUAAAUUUCUUAUUGGGAAGCGAGGACCAAUCAAAGUCAACCUGAAAUUCCAUUUUAGUGGGUUCUUUAUGAGUCUUAUGGUGAGACAGAAUGUCCCAUGUACGAUCGAAGAUUUCGUGAAGAUAGUACUCAUUUUUAUUCAUGGCGUUUUGCGUUGCAGUCAUAUCACGCAUAAUGACACCAAACUGACGCUUUACCCACUUGUGAUUGCGAUCGAACUUUUGAUGAAGACUUAGAAGAAGCUCAUGGUCAGAAAUCACGCGCCGGCAGACGCACGAGGAACAUUAGCUCAUGCUUGUGCAGCACAGUCUUGCGAUGCAGUGUCGUUGUUCAUUGAGUAGGAUGCAUCCUUGCAAAAUUGUCCAUCAAGGUGAUUUUCUUGCAACUUCCUUGUGUGAUUUAUUGAGUUUUGAAUCACUAUAGUUGUGCUCCUGUCUAAAAUCCACCUCCUUGACCCCAAGCCCUUGCACAAUGAUCUUGCCAUGUCAAUAGAACCAGGAAACCAAUUUUGUAAAUUAUGAUUUGAAAAAAAGGCAAUUAUUUAUUUUAAGUUUGUCAAAACCCCUAAUUUGGGAUUUGCACUACAAGUCCCCAAUAUAGGAGAGAUGUUUUAUCCCAAAGGUUCUAUUUGGAUCCUAUAAUUCAAAAGACUUCCCAAAACCAUAAAAUAAUUAUUUUAAAAGUUAUUUUCCUAUUCUAUUUAAACACCUUUUUCUAACGCCAGAAAUGGUAUUUCAUAAUGAAAAAUUAUUUUUUUGCAUCAAAAAUAUUUGACAAAAAUUAAGGAAACUCAGUGGACAUAUAUUUUCCAUACAUACGAGUUUCAACACAUGGUCAUGUUCAAAAUAUUGGACAAAACCCCUCGUAACCCUUUCUGUCUAUUUCAAGUUUGGAAAUAUUUCCAUAGGAAACAUUCUCAAUAAGUUCUAGGAAAAGUCUAGAAGGCCACACAUGACAAAUGUGGUGAUCCUGCAAAGUUUCAUCGCAAUCCAAGUUGAUUUCAUCCACCCAAUAAUCCCAAGACCCUUUCUGUCAUGAACCAAAAUUGAGCAACUUUACAUUGCCAAGUUUAUCCAAUCGAUCCCAAAAUUUAUAGUUGUGAUACAGUCCCCAAAUAAGUAUGCUACACCAAGUUGUUAAUAUAUGGGAGUUGAUUUGAUCACCUAGGUCCACAGAAAUCUGAUUAUGUCCAUUUCUAGGGUUUUUCAUGUUUACAUUGUCAACUUUGCUCAAAUGAGAUCAAACUUUCUGAAUCCUACUGAUUUUGCCCAUCAAAUAAUCUUGUUAAAUCUGCCUGCAAGUGGUGAGGUUUAUCUUGCUAAAACAAGCAUCAAACAUCUUCUGGUUAUUUGAUAAAAUUGCUAAUUUCACCCCUUCCACCAUUGUCCUCCACCCCAAAUUUCGAACACAAGCCCACAAUAUUUCCCUUCAUCUGUAACAAACAGUUCGAGUUCUGGUUCAACGUUGGGGGUCGGUAAAGACCCUAAUUAACCCUCUGAUUCACCCUGGGAGAGGCUUUCUCCCACUCCCCAUUUGACCACAACCUCUCUCCUCGGUUCCGCGGCAUCCAAGGAGCAUCUCAACUUCCCUCAAACGCUAGCGGACAAGGUUGAACGUGUCAGAGCGCUCCAACAUGUUGUGGCAUGCGAAAACUGUGCUCUGGACACGCUACAGUGCGCACCCGCAGUGAGGGAAGCCAACCGACUAGCUCGUGCCACCUCUGGCUAUCUCCUGAGAUGCCCUCGAUGACACAAACCUUUCACCACGUCGGCCCCCUCCUCUCUCCCCUUCUCAGCCCCCUACGACACGUUCCCCUGGCCACCCAACUCGGUCAGAUGGCGCUCGCCAUUGCCGCAUGCCAGGAGCCAGGUCACGCUCCUCCUAGUCCUCUUUCGAUCCCCAGACCGCGUCCACGAAGACCGCAGACGCGUCCCCAGGCCCACUCUCCUCCCAUUCUAGUCACCACGGUCUCGCUGGCGCAUGAGCUUUGGGUGAUUCGUGCACCGACUAUAAAAUGCCACCCAGGGCCUCCCUCUCCCUCCCUUUGACCUCAUGCUACUCCUAAUCGAACUCCUAAACCACCCACUCCUCGUCGGAGGGUCCCGAGCUCGAGACCGAGCUCCGGAUCUGCCGCAUCAGGAUUCCGGCAAUCCCCAGGUACAAGUCCGCUCUGGCUAUCCUUUCUUCUCAUCAGAACCACAUCAUAUUCCUAAUGUUUCUACCCCUCUUCCCCGUUCUUUUUCUGCAGGAUUCAACCCGAGCAACCACCCUGCAGAAGCACCUCCACCACGGUACCUCGCCGCCGGUGGCUUGAUGCACCUCAGCUCCUCCCUCCACCACCCACCGAACAGCGGGACGCUGGUCCCAUUCCCGUCAUCGCCAAGCCCAGUCGUGCCCCAUCUCGCCACCAGUGAGCUCGCGCUCUCUCCUGUCGGGAAGUUGGAGAUGACUCCGACAGGGACACAUCUGUCAUCCUCCUCUGCCCUCCCUUUUUCACGGACCGCUCGGGCACAUCAGUCAGGUUUGAAUGUGCGAGUCGUUCGUGUGUCGUACCGGCUGAAGGCGUAAAGCACAUUUGCGCCUUCGACAUGGCCGCCUGGGCCGGCUCUGCCGAGCUGGUUUGGCCCAUCUGGAAUAGUGGAGUUUUUUUAUUUCUUUUCCAAAAUCUUUAAAAAAUUCCCUGAGAUUCAAUAAUUGUCCAAAUUAAAAAAUUCCUCCACCAAAAAUCUUGCAAUAUUCUGUAGUAUUUUAGGGUGCCACUUGUGUAAUUUUUACAAUAGGUUGCAUGCACAGGUUUAUUUUAAAACCCUGUUUUGAGCAUUUUAACACUCUAUUAAAAUAGUUUCUCCAACUUUUUACAGUCCAAAAAUAAAACCGAUUUUUUAUAGAAUCUAUACUCAUCCUAGUAUUUUACAAAAAUGAUGUGAGAUUUUUCUGAGUUGAUUAUUUUCUCUGUUUCUGGUUGAGUGCUUAUUUUUGCCCAUUGAUAUUUUGACGAUAGAUUGCGUUGCUGACAUGGGACUUGGACCAGAAGACUUUGAAGACCCCGGAGACUUUGUUGAGCAAGGAAAGCAACCCCGUGACCAUUUUUAAGGCAGUACAUUCAUGCAUGUCAUAUUCAUCAUUUUAUUUCGGUGCAUAAGACCAUGUUGAAUCGGUAACUACUUCGAUGGGGUGUUUCUGAUAGUUCCUCGUUGACACUUGCACUUGGGCAUAACCCUACCUACCUAUGAGGGUUGUGCGGGUUCGGUGUAGUUAGGUUGCUAGUAGUUCUACGCAUGGAACUGAGUACAUGCAUGAUGACGGUAAAGGAAGAUGAUUUCAAAGGUUUUACGAAAACCCCAUCGAGUGCCAUUAAUGCCCGAGGGUGAUGUGUUGAGCUAGGUAACUAGUUGAUAAAGGAGUGGUGUAUCGAGGCCAGUCGUGUGAGUCGAUUCUGAAAACAGGGUUAGAUUUAAGAUUUGACGAGCAUCCCAUCCUUACAUGUACGACCGCGAUACUGCUUAUGGGACAGGGCUUUGUUGAUUACUAUAGUCGAUGCUAGUGGAGAGCUCGCAUUACUAGUGGCGGGAGUUAUGUGGUUACUCCUAGACGGGGUCGUGCCAAGAAAGGGCGACCACAACCUAUUUUCACAGACACUAGGCACACCGUUGCGUGCCCUUGUGGAUGAUACGUGCGAUGCACAUCGCAAGGGAUUGCCACCAACAAGUGGUCUCUUUGUUAGCGCCAUCAUGGGAAAGGUGAUGUUCGGGUACUUACCUCGGGUAUAAGAAAUGCCUCGAGCCAUGUCCUCACACGGAAGUUUCCCUAGUCUUGUGGGUGAAGUAUGCAACAUCUGCAGAGUAUAAAACUAUUCGAAUAGUUGUGUCCACAGUGAAGGACAUGUGGAUGGUGCUACUUAAAGUACGUCUAUAUUUUUUCGCAUAAACCAAGUGUGUGUGUGUGUUGGAAUUGUGCUAGCAUGAAUGUUGAGCUAAGUGAGAUGACUUGGCAUGAUGGGUGAACAUGGGAGGUUCAACCCUCAUUUGAUAUUGAUACAUGUAACUUGUUCACAAGGUUAUCUCUAACCAUAUGAUGCAUUCCUUGCGAGAAGUUGAUCAUGUUAUUGCAUCAGGGAAAAUCUGCUUUCCCCAAAAUUUCCUACUAGUGUUAUAUCAUGCUUCAUUAUUGCCUUGUUCCACAUAAUGGGUUGCUUGCGAGUACAUUCAAAGUACUCAUUGGCUUGCCACUAGUUAUUUAAUUGGCCAUGCAUGGAAGAGUGGGAAAUUGGAGAAGAGUUCGUCGGUGACGAACAUACGAACAAGGACGCUUUCAAGUCAAAUUGCAUGUAGGUUAAGGCAGAUGACAUGGGUUCACGCUUUCAUUCAAGAUUUCUGCUCUUAGUUAUGUUGGUGUGUCGGACUUCGAGGCCCAAUCUAUGUAAGACUUGGCCUUAAUGGUCCUUAUUUGUAUCAAACGACAUGUAUGGAUGUUAGACUCUUGUUAUUUAGCUUCUGUGUGUUCAAUGAGCAUUGAUCUUUGGGAUCAUUGUACACGUGCAUUCGGUGCUCACGACUUACAAGUCAGGCUAACCCACAUACCUGGUAUUAGAGCCAUCCUUACUGUAGGAAGCCUUACCUAGCAUGGACGUGAGAUAGGACAAGUCCCCCUUUUCAAAAACUAUACCUAGAAUCUAUACUCAGGAGUUUCUGCAUUUUUCCUCUUCCACUCUAUCUUCAAAAAUCUUAACUAACACCCUCUCCUUAAACUUUGUAGAUGGCUGUCGUAAUCGAAAACCUCCUAGCAUCCAGCUUUCCCCUACUCCUUGAGGACAGCGUGGAGAAGUUCCAGGUCCGCCGAUCAACCGUUUCCCUCUACCACGAGCAUUGGGUCAAUGUCGCCACAAAGGAGUACCCUGUUUAUGUGGUCGUGAAGGCAAACGACUCCUAGACAAGCUAGUUCUUUGAAGGACCAUAGAUGGAGACUCUGGUGUUAGCGGUAGAGACAGCGGCACAGAAGGCACUCCUCCACCUUCGCGACAUCCUUCGUGAGAUGGUGAUGAACCGGCUGCUCGCCACUUUCCUUUUGUGGUGGGAGUUGGACAUUGACCCCAUCCCCGGAGGACAGGACACCGCUCAAAUUCCAGACCUACUUCAGCCUCUCCGCCGUCAGUGUGGCUCACAACCUGAUUAAGGAGUCCGUGAAGCUCUGCCAGGAACUUCACCACACCCGUGAACUAGUCCGUCAAGCUAAGACGAAGCCAGACAAGGUCAAGAAGGAUGGAUCCCCUAAGGGGAAACCCGUUGUUGCUUAUAGAGAUGUAGUACCCCCAAAUAGAUAUGCACCCACACAACAUCAUCGCAUGAGUGCGAAGGAGUAUCGUGAGUUCUUCACCGCUCCACACGAGAAGCAUCACCGGGAUGGACCUCCCCAUUCCCCGACUCCCUCGACGGGAGAUGAUGCCCGUACAUAUGAUGACCAGGAGGAAGACCCAGAAGAGCGCGAGUAUGAGACGGAGCACUCCAAUACUGGAGUCUGAGAACCCCUAGGGUAGGACAAGCUAUGUAUCCCUCAUGCGAAGUCUGGUCCGUGUAAUGGUUCAUAUAAAACCAUGUGUGCUUGUUGAUUGUUUUAUGUUUUUGAUUCAAUUCAAUUAACAAUUUUUCUAUAGGCAACAUGUAAGCGACUACAUCGCCUGUCUUUUCUUAAGGUUAUGUGAUGAAUCUUUUGACCAUGUGUUUGACACACUUGCACUGUAUCAACCACCAUUAGGCGUGUUUCCCUCUUGUUGCUAUUCCUUUCGUCUAUUUCAGUUGUUUGACUUGGCUGCUCCAAAUAGGAUGGUGAGUGCUACUCGCACCAUUACCCUUGGCAACCCCAACACCAGUGACUCUAGCCAGCAGCGAGAAGCCGGUGGGUCUGCUCAAGCUAGAGGUCACAGGAGCUGCCACAAGGCAAUAUUCCCCCGCCACCGCCUCCGUUGGAGAACAUGACUAUGACUUAGUUUGUCCAAGCUCUUCGUGAGGAACGCUAAACCAGCACUACCGCUAUCCAGCAAAUGGCUCAAGUUCUCGUGAACAACCAGCAACAGGGUUGGAACAACAACGGUCGUUCCACUCUGUCAUAGUUCAUGAAGUAUUCGCCCCCAACCUUCACUGGGACAGCUGAAACUUUGGAUGCUGAUGAGUGCAUCUGCACCAUCAAUGACCUCCUUGCAUUGGUCAACUACAAUGAGGACCGUGUGAAGGUUCUCUAUGCCUAUCACAACCUCGGAGGUACCGCGAGAGCUUGGUGGGAUCGAUCCAAGGUCAUGGAAGGUGAGCAUCUAAUCACCUUGGAUUAUUUCAAGCAAGGAUUUUGUACUGCUCAUAUCCCCUCUAGGAUUAUGGCCAACAAGAAGUAGGAGUUUCGAGCGUUGAAGCAAGGAAGUGGCUCUAUCAAGGAGUACCCGCAGGAGUUCAACUUCUUAUCAAGGUAUGCACUUGAUGACGUCAGUACUGAGGCCGCCAAGAUAGAACACUUCAUGGAAGGGCUUCAUCAAUCAUUGUUGUAUCAACUUGUUGUCUUUGACUGCCGAACCUUCUUCGAGCUAGUGAACAAGGGCCUCAUGCUUGAAGAUCAGUGUCAUGCCCUGGAAGACACAUGCAAACGCAAGAUGAUCAAUAUCGGUGGUUCUAGCAACCACAAUACUCACCUGUGGCAAUCAGCCGGAGUGAAGCCGAACUAUCAGCCCUUGCAAUCUAGGACUCCUCCAGCUCGUUGAAGCUACCAGCUUCAGCCAUAUGCCAACCCUAGGCCGACCCAACAACAACAAUGGCGGCAAGACCAACAACUUCGGGCAGGUCACAUGCUUUGGGUGUGGUCAACAUGUACAUAUCUCGAGGCAUUGCCCUAGCAAGAAGCCAAAUGCAUCGUGCCCCAAUGCGCCAAACCAGGGACAAGGCCGUGGAGUGCCAUCCAGGAAUCAAGCUCCCCGUAACCUGCCCAACAAUUGGAAAGUCCGUGUGAAUCACGUCUCCACUGAGGAAGCCCAGGAGGACCCGGAUGUCAUACUAGGUACGUUCCUCGUCAACUCAAUCCCAGGGUCGACUCGACCAUGGAACUGGGCUGUAGGGUUCGGGUGGCGACGACGUCUCGGACGGCGCACCCUCGGCACAGCUUCAUUGCAGAUGGCAUCCAAACUGAGGUGAAGCUCCAUCGAUAUCAUGGUUGGGCUAGCUAACAUAAAGGAUGGAGCAGACCUCAGGGAUCCGAUAUGUCUUCCCACCAAUAUGGGCUGGUUGCUGGAUGCGGUUGCAGCUUCAUUGCUUGCCGGGGUCGAGCGAGUAAUUAACAUGUGGUUCACGAGCGUGUCAAAGGUGAUCUGAUGGAUGAGUGUAUCCUGCGCUCUCAAAUAGCGCACAACCUGCACCAAGGCGGGGUGUACCUCAAAGUCUAUGCUGGCAACUUGAGUCGGACUACCAUAGCCUUCAUGACUAGGAUAGUAUCAGAAUGGUCGGCUAUUCAUCCAUGAUGACAAAUAUCGCAGCUGGACUAUAGCCUCUUGGGCUUGGGCUUCACUGGUGGCUUUCUACUAAUGAAAUGGUAAGGGCACUCCAGCGAGGAACUCCCUCCAUAGAUGUGCACCGAUCCCAAAAGUAACGAAUAGCAUCACCCGCAUUCUCCUCAUGCACAACAUACACUGGGGGAUCUUCCAUGCCAAAAACUAGGCGGUUGAGGUCGGCAAGGAUGGCUACGAAACCUUCCGGCUCAGAUGCAAGGAUUUGUUGCUAAGAACGUGGCCAAUCAUCUUGUUGGUUUGGGGAUUACCGGGAUGGGGGUCUCAAGGUUGCGGGUUGCUGGGUUGAGGCAAUGCCCUACUAUAUAGGCUAGGGAGUCUUCCAUCGCACACUACGGAAUGCGACAACUCUGGUGUCGCUCAUAGACACCUAGCUUAAGGGCUAGGCUGACAGGUUAGGCACCGACUACUAAAAGGUGUCGGAUGGCUAUUGUGGUUGGCAAUUGGGUAUUCUAGGGUGGGUGGUGGAUAUAUAAAUAUUCGGGCUAGGGAUAGUGACCUGGCUAACAUAGGUUUAGCCAAUGGUCAGCCUAGCUCUGAUACCAAGGUUGUAGCGACUGGUUAUUCGGAAAAACAAAUUCUGGAAAACAGGCCUUUGUGUUCACCAGCCCCAGGACUGAUGUUAGCUUGUGGACACUCACUUGAUACAGAUAUCCCAAGCAAAUAACAAAAUCUAGGUUACAAGACCAUGAAGGUCCACUGGUUUGGAAAAAAGUCUGAGGCUGAUAGCGGAAGCUACUCGAGGAAUCUCGAGUGCCCAUGGGACUCCAUUCCCACAAGAAUAGCUGACCUGGAUAAAUUCCUUUCUCACAAGGCUUCCAUCCUCGACUUCUAGAUUUCUGGGGUUGAUGGCAUCGUGCUCCUCUCUGAAAGCAAUGUGGCCCAGACAAUAGCCAGGGACCAGCCAGUGUGGUCUUUGAAUGUACUCACAAACAUCAAGAAACCAGAUAAGUUAAAGCAGGUGAGAUGCAUGCAUAAUUCACAUAAUAACUCUAUCAUGCCAUCAAAAUUAAUUAACGGAUGCAUUCAUGCAAAUAAACCAUCUCCACGAAUGUUGUAUAAGCAAGCAAGGAAGGGUCACAAUCAAUUAUAAGCUUCUCGAUCGGGCAUCUAAGGCGGCACCUUGGAAGGACAAGUAACACAAGCCAUAGUCGGGCGUCUUAGCGAGGCCGCAUAAAGGGACUUGUCAAUGGAAUAUUACGAAACAUGCGACAGUUGGGCGUCUGGAACAACACCACAAAAAUUCCUUAGAUGAAGAUAAUGAUGAACAUGUAAUAGCAUGCAUGCCAUAGUUGGGCGUCGGAGCGACACCACAUAAAGGGCUCAUACGAAAGUAAUAACAGUUGCCACAGUCAUGUGUCUAAGCGACACCAUAGAAAGGGAUUAUAUAAUAUCAACACCGAGUAUCCAGGAGGUAGAACCGUCCCAAGGAUACUCUAAUCCAUAUACCACACAUGAUUAGUCCACCUCAGAACUCAUAAUAAUAAUAAUACUUGUCAUCCCGGUUCAUAGGCAUCAUCAUGUUUCAAUUUAAUUCCUCCGAUGACAGACACUCAAACCGACACACUUGACUAGUCAACCAAUCGCCCUUGACCGUGGACACGGCUACUCGAAUAGUUCUGACUCUACACAUGAUGUACUCUUUACCCACAACCCACAUGUUUCAAUAGUCACUCGGACUAAUCCUGUGUACGGUAUUUUAGAAGUAAACACUCAGAACCAGCACACACCAUUUUCCCCCCGUGAGGACCGGCACCAUGUGGGCUACGCUGCUAGGGAAAAACCAUAAGACGGGGAGGCUACAACCUCCACUAGCAUGGGAUCAAAUUAAUACCACGCACUACAAGGGACGAGCUCUUCCAUCUCGGUCCUAGACCGGAAACACCCAUGCCCCCUGACCGGAUGACAUGAUUUAUUCGAGGGCCAUGGAUAACUUCAUCCCGGCCCCUCUACUUGGUGUGAACCUAAUAAUAGGUUUACGACCUACUAAACCGUAUUCCCUUUCGAGAAGACAUGUGGUAGCACGAAAGGUAAGGCGACACACUCACAAGACUCGAUCAACAUCCGACUUAGGAGGUUUAAGUUUUCCUGCAAGGGUUAGUAUCACACAAUUUUUGUGAAUGAUAUACCUCAGUGUUACCACCAUCACACCUCGAUAUGCCCCUCACUAACCACUCUCGUCCCACAAUAUGGCGGUCCCAUGGUCUCAAAAUUACCACUACAAACGUCCCUCCGAGGUAGUGCAGACCAGCAUGGCAUACGAGGCAUGAGGUAGUACACACUCACCAUUUGCAUCACAUAUAAUCAAAAAAAUACCCAACUCAUGCACUCAUGCAAGAUAUGAUUGUAUGUGGGAGCUUUUUUCAAAAUAACCCAAAUCACGCAUUUAAAGCACCACAGCAAACAUCGCACAACUUAAUGCAAAUCAGAGUUUAAGAUUCUUGCCUUUGGAGAGAAGAAGGGUGGUGUCCACCCCAAAAAUCUUGAAGGAAUCUGCCUCUCACCAAAUUCCUAUUUUGAAAAUAUUUAAAUUAUUACAUAAUUACAAAACACCACAUAAAAGUUGUUUUAAACUUCCUGAAAUAAAAUUUGGAAAUAAACUAGAUGAGAUUUUAGAAGGGUAGGAAAAAAAUCAACUCAUUUGGAGUUUUAUUUAAAAAGAUAUGGCCAGUCAAAGUUCUGUUUUUAAAAAUCAAGAAAAAGGAAAACACUUUGGCGUGAAUACGCUUUCCAAAUACCAAAGUGUAUCUGCGCGAGGGCGCUUACUCGUGGAGGAAACGUACCAGCACGCCGGUGCCUCUAGGGAGUUGUGGUGACUGACCGACUGGUGGGCCCCACCUGUCGGGUUCGUCUCCCACCUCGUGUGGGCUGGGACAGAACCAAAGGCAAGUCCGUCGAGGCUCGCCGGUGCUAGAGGGAACCUCUCAUGGCGCUCACCACAUCGGUGCACUUAGGAAAAGGAGACGCACCUCAAGGGAGCGGAAGGGGUCGUCGGUGGGCUCCGGAUUAGGCAUGGCUGCGGCAGUGGCUAGCGGCCCCUCGGGCGGGAAGAAGGCUACGCAAGCAGAGGCUCCUAGGUGACAACAACAGGGGUAUGCGAUCUAGAGGUUUUGGCGAGGCUAGCAGAGGACACGCUGGGGCAGAUGGGGCUUGGGGCUGCCUGAAUUUGGCCGAACACUGGCGGCGGCGCCGCGGCUAGAGGCGAGCAGGGCAGGCAGCUCAGGCCAAAUUGGAGUAAGGGGAAGCAGCUGCGGGCUCCGGGAGGGCGAUGGGGCAAAAUACAGCCCGAUGGGGGGACUACUUAUGGCUGGGCAGAGGCGGUUCCGCUGCGGCCUAAGGAUAAGACCGCCGACGAGAAUCUCUAGCGGCGAUUAGGAAAUUUGGCCCGACACUGGCGGCGGCAGCGCGGCUAGAGGCAAGCAAGGCAGGCGGUUCAGGCCAAAUUGGAGUAAGGGGGCACCAGCUGCGGGCUCAGCGCGCUCAGGGAGGGCGAUGGGGCACAUUAAAGCUCGGGGGGGCUAUUUAUGGCUGGGCCGGGGCGGUUCCGCAGUGGUCCAAGGAUAAGACCGACAACGACAAGCUCUAGCGGCGAUCAAGUGCGGCAGGCGCAGGCUGGCAGGACGGCAGCAUGCGGACAAUGCAGAGGAGGGAUCCAAGGGACAGAUGGCAGCAUGCGGACGAUAUAGGGGAGGGCUCGAGCGGCACCGACCACUGUUGGGCGAGCUGCUGUCGUCGGC
Molecule: long non-coding RNA, 32310 nt
Filed under: Hordeum vulgare
Lineage: Eukaryota; Viridiplantae; Streptophyta; Magnoliopsida; Poales; Poaceae
Description: long non-coding RNA (HVUL_LNC000881)
Source: RNAcentral